Non-coding RNA from Paramuricea clavata, 993 nucleotides. NCBI's taxonomy places the organism in Eukaryota, Metazoa, Cnidaria, Anthozoa, Malacalcyonacea, Plexauridae. The record is from the annotation of a GenBank genome assembly.
AAAUAAUGGUUUAAUCAUUAUAUCCGAAAUACAUUAACUAUAAUUUAUAGUAGUGUUUACAUUGCAAACUAGGCAUGGCCUGAUUCUUACUUUGACCUACAUUAUGGUAGUGUAAACACUGCCUCGUCCCCAGUCGCUUGCUAUCAAAUAAUUAAUUAGGAAAAGACGAAAAUUAAUGGGGGCGCGCGGGACGAUGGGCUCGUCCUUAGUUGCGGGCGUGCGCCUAAAGGCGUGCGUCUUUAUCGGGCUUGCAGUGCACGCGCUGAUCUAUAUAUUACCGAUAUUUAAAUUUGAUCUAUAUAGAGGAGCCUGCGGAGGAGGCAGGUGUAAACAAACAUUAGCCUACCCUAGACCUGAUCUUGAUCAGAAAAUCUGGACUCACAAAUUGGCACUGCGACACUGGGAUUGUCGGCCUUGGCCUGCCUAUUAAAAUCAAAGACAUUCGAAGGAACGAAUCUCUAUCAUUCCUUUGAAUGCCUAUGCUUCACAAACUAUGUUUCACAAUCACCUCGAGUUCUUCAAGUGGUGUGCAGCAGAUGGUGGUCAAAGUCAGAAAUGUCGACAGUGACAGGAGCAAGGAAAAGAAACUAAAUCUCUCUUUUACUUAUUUUGUCAUCAAACAGAACAGUCUAGACCUCUAGAUCAAUACAAAUAUAACGACAAGAUUUGACAUUAUUUUCUCACUCUGAUAUAACUUCAGGUUGCCCACCAUCUGCUGCACGAUAGUGAUUAGUAAAACACACCAAUAUUAGGCAAGGGAGAAUCAAUAUGUCUGCAAGAAUGUUCCAAAUUAUUUGUUCCAAACUUUAAAAUUGCUACACCAUAACAUCACAGCAGGAUGCAAGUGCUUUUUGUGCAUAUCUGAGAAUAAAAAAAAUUGUGAAAAUAAAAUCUUUGACUUGACUAAACUUCCUGCUCAAAAAAUACUUUGAAUAUGAAUAGGCAGACACACAUUACUUUCCAUUAUGUGUUAGCUGAAGUCUUUAAGCGUUC